RNAcentral lists this long non-coding RNA (967 nucleotides) under Vombatus ursinus (common wombat). RNAcentral's name for it is "lncRNA (ENSVURG00010019860.1)". Lineage: Eukaryota; Metazoa; Chordata; Mammalia; Diprotodontia; Vombatidae. The record is from RNAcentral.
GUGGCUUCUAGGUGGAGUCUAAGGUCCCUGGCUGGAUUGAGCGGGUCCUUGGUAUUAAGCAAGAGGAGGUGCAGGCCCAGCUUCAUGACCUGGAACACAGAAUCGUGAGUCAUGUGGCCCAAGAGUGGCCCAAGUCUGUGAGCAAAGCUGCUGCCAUCUUAAGACUGAGCCUUCUGAAGGAAGGAAUGACCACCGGCGUGACGAAGGAGGUGAGGCCUGCCCCACUGGCUGUCCUCCUGGCUGGGGUCACUGGUUUGCCCUCAGAAGAGCCUGCCAGGAGGGAGGGGAAAACCCUGGCUGAGCAGGUAGCAUGCUUGCCCGCCCCCCACAUGGGCUGGGCUAGCCCUGCAGGUGACCUGGCCCCUGAGUAGUGCAUGCCUGUCUUUUAGGAAGUGAACCAGAUCAUAAAGCAGGCCCUGAAAGAACACAGUGAAGAUCGAAUCGGGCUUGUGGAUUAUGCCCUGGAGUCCUCAGGAGCCAGCAUUGUCAGUAGCGGCUCGUCAGAGACAUACGGCAUCAGGACGGAGUGGUCUGCCCAUUUCACUCUGUUGGGCAUCCCAUUGUGGCGCUAUUUCCAGUCGCCAAGAGUCAUCCUCCAGCCAGAUGUCUACCCUGGCAACUGCUGGGCAUUCCGGGGCCCGCGGGGCUUUGUCGUGGUGCGCUUGUCUGCUCGGAUCCAGCUCACUGCCAUCACUUUGGAGCACGUGCCCAAAGCCCUGUCCCCAAACAGUGACAUCCCCAGUGCCCCAAAGGACUUUGUCAUCUUGGGUCUCAAUGAAGAUUCCCAGAUGGAGGGGGUUGCCCUGGGGCAGUUCACCUAUGAGAAUGCUGGGGAGGCCAUUCAGACCUUCCCCUUUCAGGUAUGGAGGGUUGAUCCCACAGCAGGGAUGCAGGCGUGUUGGUGAUCUCCAGGGCUGGAUCACCAGCCACUGGGACGCGGUGGCUUGGCAAGUGGCUGCAGUGGAAG